Molecule: long non-coding RNA, 370 nt
Filed under: Amborella trichopoda
Lineage: Eukaryota; Viridiplantae; Streptophyta; Magnoliopsida; Amborellales; Amborellaceae
Description: long non-coding RNA (ATRI_LNC000037)
Source: RNAcentral
UCGCUCUCAAGUUUUAAGAUACUCUCUCUCUCUCUAAAAAUUCAAAUUUGAUAUAGUUCUGCUUUCUAAAAUUCUUGAAAUAGUUUCUCUAAAAAAUUCAAGUAGUUUUUCUCCCUAGAAUUUGAUAUAUUUUAUCUCUCUAAAAAUUUAAAAAAUGUUAUUCAUCUAAAAUUUAUAAUUUGAUAUAAUUUCUGUCUCAAAAUUUUUUUAGAAAGGCUUGGUUAGGUACCUCGAUCUCGCCCUCUGGAUCUAGAUGACCUGGCAUCACGUGUCUCGGGUUUCAAGGGAACCCGGGACAUAAGAUCGCUCUAUCGAGAACCUUGUUAGGAAACAAGGGCAGGUAUACCAACCGAUGAGAGAAGAAUUUAAG